RNAcentral lists this long non-coding RNA (895 nucleotides) under Cricetulus griseus (Chinese hamster). RNAcentral's name for it is "lncRNA (ENSCGRG00000025763.1)". The record is from RNAcentral. Lineage: Eukaryota; Metazoa; Chordata; Mammalia; Rodentia; Cricetidae.
UGAGUCAAGAAAUCUUCAAAAUAAUCAAUUCUUGGACAGAAUUCUGGCAUAUUAUUAAUAAGUAUCUGCUUUUAUUGUGUGUUGAGGUUGACUUGUCCCCCAAAGAUUGCUCUGAACAGCAUACUCAUGGUGUAUUUGAAAACAACAUAUUGUAUAAAGCGACGCAUGUCACUGGAGAUGAGAAAAAUGACGCUCAGGGCCAUCUGAUGGGACCCUCUAAUAUAGAAUGCCGUUUGUGUCUCUUCUGUGAUUAUUUCUAUGUCCCAAUUAUUAGCAGCCAUCAGUGCCUGGGGAUGAUGCAGAGCAAAGCAAAACAAAACAAAGGUCUGUCAGUCUGCAUCUCACGGAUAAGUCUUAGGGGCUGCAGAUGGAUUUAUUGGCUCUCUGUUUCUAAAUCUGUCUAAAAGACCUGAACAAUUUCCUACCUGAAAGAGGCUGAGAGCUGAGCACCUGGAGGCCUUUCAUAAUGACAGUGGCGGGGAAGCACAAUACCGCUGGAGUUAAUUUUUGAUGUGAGCUGUGCUGCUUACUCAGACUCAGACAGACACUCGUCUCCUGCAGCAAGGGGAAAUAAAAUGUUUCCUGAAGAUGCUGUGGUUUAUUUUUGCACAUGCUACUUAUAUAAAGCACAAGACAAAUGAAGAUUUUUAACCCUCAUUUGGGCUCCAUAAAACAAUGUAAAAUCUACCUUAACAUCUAUUUUUAUUUUUAUUUUAAUACCUGAUAUUUUUAAGUGAGUAAAUGAAUGUUUCUCUCUUUAUGCACAUAUAAGGCAACUUACAUAACCUCUAAUUAAAAUAACACAUAGUUAUCUUUUUCAGUGCUAUUAAUUGAAAUGCUGCUUUGUACCAAGCAGGGUAUCAUGAAGCAGUAAUUAAAAAGACAGGAACUUCCC